RNAcentral lists this long non-coding RNA (382 nucleotides) under Homo sapiens (human). RNAcentral describes it as "HSALNT0158807". The record is from RNAcentral. Lineage: Eukaryota; Metazoa; Chordata; Mammalia; Primates; Hominidae.
ACUUUGCAUCCUCUGAUACAAGCAUACAUCAAGUUGUCUUGCCAAGUAAAGAAUGAGAACAAAAUGUACUACUUAGUUUCAUUAUCUUUUUUUGCCUUUGAUCAUAGGAUUCCAUGCACUGGAUUUUUACGGAUGAAGAAUAGGAAUGUGUUGAGAAGGGAUGGGAUGGUGAUAAAAUUAGAAACUGAAUGGUGGUUGUAUUGGUUCCUGAACCUUGUUAUUCCUCCUACCCCUAAGUUCCAUUUAAGAAGGGGUCCCAGGAGAAUUAGGUAACAAAACAAGCUCUGCACUGAGAGUCAAUAGGCAAGCUGAACUGUUCAAGUUGAAGACCCAACAGACAAAUCCCAAAAGAGAUUGCUUUACCUUUCAUCAGCAGGAUGGG